UGGGUGAUGUUAGGUGAUGUUAGGUGAUGUUAGGUGAUGUUAGGUGAUGUUGGGUGAUGUUAGAUGAUGUUAGGUGAUGUUGGGUGAUGUUAGGUGAUGUUAGGUGAUGUUAGGUGAUGUUGGGUGAUGUUAGGUGAUGUUAGGUGAUGUUAGGUGAUGUUGGGUGAUGUUAGGUGAUGUUAGGUGAUGUUAGGUGAUGUUAGGUGAUGUUAGGUGAUGUUGGGUGAUGUUAGGUGAUGUUAGGUGAUGUUGGGUGAUGUUGGGUGAUGUUAGGUGAUGUUAGGUGAUGUUGGGUGAUGUUAGGUGAUGUUAGGUGAUGUUAGGUGAUGUUGGGUGAUGUUAGGUGAUGUUAGGUGAUGUUGGGUGAUGUUAGGUGAUGUUAGGUGAUGUUAGGUGAUGUUGGGUGAUGUUAGGUGAUGUUAGGUGAUGUUGGGUGACGUUAGGUGAUGUUAGGUGAUGUUAGGUGAUGUUGGGUGAUGUUAGGUGAUGUUAGGUGAUGUUAGGUGAUGUUGGGUGAUGUUAGGUGAUGUUAGGUGAUGUUGGGUGAUGUUAGGUGAUGUUAGGUGAUGUUGGGUGAUGUUAGGUGAUGUUAGGUGAUGUUGGGUGACGUUAGGUGAUGUUAGGUGAUGUUAGGUGAUGUUGGGUGAUGUUAGGUGAUGUUAGGUGGUGUUGGGUGAUGUUAGGUGAUGUUAGGUGAUGUUAGGUGAUGUUAGGUGAUGUUGGGUGAUGUUAGGUGAUGUUAGGUGAUGUUGGGUGAUGUUGGGUGAUGUUAGGUGAUGUUGGGUGAUGUUGGGUGAUGUUGGGUGAUGUUAUGCGGAAGCCGCUUCGCGCGGGAGGCUAAAAAAGCGUUUUACGGCCGCCAAAGCGGGCCUGGAGCAUUUUUGGCGCAUU
Long non-coding RNA from Eriocheir sinensis (Chinese mitten crab), 891 nucleotides. RefSeq lists it as uncharacterized. The transcript has 3 exons. The record is from RefSeq and is a predicted model, not a curated record. NCBI's taxonomy places the organism in Eukaryota, Metazoa, Arthropoda, Malacostraca, Decapoda, Varunidae.